RNAcentral lists this long non-coding RNA (442 nucleotides) under Citrus sinensis (sweet orange). Its description in RNAcentral is "long non-coding RNA (CSIN_LNC004224)". Lineage: Eukaryota; Viridiplantae; Streptophyta; Magnoliopsida; Sapindales; Rutaceae. The record is from RNAcentral.
UGCAUCUUGAUGGCAGUGCAUUUGAGGAAAAGAAUAAAAGAAAAAAGAAUCAUAUCAAUUCAAAUUUCAAAAUAUGCAGAGAUAAAUCGGGAGAAAUCUAAAGGCAAAAAAUAUACAAUAAUGUAAAAUAUUUAAAUAUAGCUAGAGUCUAGUAAAUUUUAAAUUGAAAUAAGUUUAUUUUAAAAAAUAAAAAUAAAAUUUUAAGCAAUAGUAUUUCCCUAUAAUUUCCCCUUGCAAAAAUAACAAGCAAAUCAACAAUUCACUUAGUCUUGUCCAAAGCUGACGCUACAAAGCUUAAAAAUUAAAAAAAGAAAAAGAAUUAGAGCUUAUUGGUAAGGUGUUGGGCGAGAAAUUGUGGAGAAAAAAAAAAGAAAAAUUUUGAGUCUGAAUAGUGGAGACAAGAGAGGGCUGCCGCAGCUGAAAGAUGAGAGGAAAGAAAGAG